Non-coding RNA from Heterocephalus glaber (naked mole-rat), 300 nucleotides. The record is from Rfam. Lineage: Eukaryota; Metazoa; Chordata; Mammalia; Rodentia; Bathyergidae.
AGAUGUGAGGGCGAUCUGGCUGCGACAUCUGUCACCCCACUGAUCGCCAGGGUUGAUUCGGCUGAUCUGGCUGGCUAGGCGGGUGUCCCCUUCCUCCCUCACCGCUCCAUGUGUGUCCCUACCGAAGCUGCACGCUCCUUCGAAGAGGACAACCACCCCCCAUAGAGGAGGACCGUUUCCUCGCUCAAGGGUAUACGAGUAGCUGCGCUCCCCUGCUAGAACCUCCAAACAAGCUCUAAAUCCCAGUUCUCUCCUCAGUACUUCAGUUCCAAUUAUGUCUAUCCUUUCAAUUCACUAAUU